CGGUGGAGCAUGUGGUUUAAUUCGAUGCAACGCGAAGAACCUUACCUGGGCUUGACAUCCCGGGAAUCCCUUGGAAACAAGGGAGUGCCCUUCGGGGAACCUGGAGACAGGUGCUGCAUGGCUGUCGUCAGCUCGUGUCGUGAGAUGUAGGGUUAAGUCCCGCAACGAGCGCAACCCUUGUCUUUAAUUGCCAUCAUUGAGUUGGGCACUUUAAAGAGACUGCCGGUGUUAAACCGGAGGAAGGUGGGGAUGACGUCAAGUCCUCAUGGCCUUUAUGCCCAGGGCUACACACGUGCUACAAUGGGUGGUACAAAGAGCAGCCAGCUCGCGAGAGUGAGCAAAUCUCAAAAAGCCAUCCUCAGUUCGGAUUGCAGGCUGAAACUGCCUGCAUGAAGUUGGAGUUGCUAGUAACCGCAGGUCAGCACACUGCGGUGAAUACGUUCUCGGGCCUU
This 452-nucleotide ribosomal RNA is filed under the name uncultured Syntrophus sp. RNAcentral describes it as "bacterial SSU rRNA". It matches the Rfam family "Bacterial small subunit ribosomal RNA", at positions 930 to 1382 of the family's 1533-position model. Lineage: Bacteria; Pseudomonadati; Thermodesulfobacteriota; Syntrophia; Syntrophales; Syntrophaceae. The record is from RNAcentral.